GGCAGCAGCUAAGAAUAUUCCGCAAUGGACGAAAGUCUGACGGAGCGACGCCGCGUGGAUGAUGAAGGCCGGAAGGUUGUAAAAUCCUUUUAUGACUGAGGAAUAAGUGAAGUGAGAGAAACGCUUCAUGGUGACUGUAGGUCAUGAAUAAGCAACGGCUAAUUACGUGCCAGCAGCCGCGGUAACACGUAAGUUGCGAGCGUUGUUCGGAAUUAUUGGGCGUAAAGGGUAUGUAGGCGGUUCUGCAAGUCUGGUGUGAAAUGCCGGGGCUCAACCCCGGAACUGCGUUGGAAACUGCAGGACUUGAAUCGCUGAGGGGCAGCCAGAAUUCCAGGUGUAGGGGUGAAAUCUGUAGAUAUCUGGAAGAAUACCAAUGGCGAAGGCAGGCUGCCAGCAGAUGAUUGACGCUGAGGUACGAAGGUGCGGGGAGCAAACAGGAUUAGAUACCCUGGUAGUCCGCACAGUCAACUAUGUACACUGGGUGUCCGCUCAUGAGAGUGGGUGCCGAAGCAAACGCGAUAAGUGUACCGCCUGGGGAGUAUGCCCGCAAGGGUGAAACUCAAAGGAAUUGACGG
This 575-nucleotide ribosomal RNA is filed under the name uncultured rumen bacterium. RNAcentral's name for it is "bacterial SSU rRNA". It matches the Rfam family "Bacterial small subunit ribosomal RNA", at positions 347 to 916 of the family's 1533-position model. The record is from RNAcentral.